RNAcentral lists this ribosomal RNA (798 nucleotides) under uncultured bacterium. RNAcentral describes it as "bacterial SSU rRNA". It matches the Rfam family "Bacterial small subunit ribosomal RNA", at positions 8 to 796 of the family's 1533-position model. The record is from RNAcentral.
AGAGUUUGAUCAUGGCUCAGAACGAACGCUGGCGGCGUGGAUAAGACAUGCAAGUCGAACGGGACAUCAUGAGUAGCAAUACAAGUGAUGUCUAGUGGCGAACGGGUGCGUAACACGUGGAUACAUUCCGGGAAGCGGGGGAUAGCCCAGGGAAACUUGGAUUAAUACCGCAUGUGGUCGAAAGACUAAAGGCAGGGACCGCAAGGCCUGCCACUUCCCGAUUGGUCCGCGGCCUAUCAGCUAGUUGGCGGGGUAAAAGCCCACCAAGGCUACGACGGGUAGCUGGUCUUAGAGGACGACCAGCCACACUGGAACUGAGACACGGUCCAGACACCUACGGGUGGCAGCAGUCGAGAAUCUUUCACAAUGGGGGCAACCCUGAUGGAGCGACGCCGCGUGGAGGAUAAGGUCUUCGGAUUGUAAACUCCUGUCAUGUGUGAACAAGGUUGUCGUGUUAAUAGCAUGGCAAAUUGAUGGUAACACAAGAGGAAGAGACGGCUAACUCUGUGCCAGCAGCCGCGGUAAUACAGAGGUCUCAAGCGUUGUUCGGAAUCACUGGGCGUAAAGGGUGCGUAGGUGGCGUGGUAAGUCAGAUGUGAAAGCCCGGGGCUCAACCUCGGAAUUGCAUCCGAUACUACCAUGCUAGAGUACUGAAGAGGUGACUAGAAUUCUCGGUGUAGCAGUGAAAUGCGUAGAUAUCGAGAGGAAUACCAACGGCGAAGGCAGGUCACUGGGCAGUUACUGACACUGAGGCACGAAGGCCAGGGGAGCAAACGGGAUUAGAUACCCUGGUAGUCC